CUUGAUCGACCCCAACCACAGCGGCCGGUCGGCCGGCCGGUCCUGCCCGUACGUGGCCAGCAACGCCUGCGCCUC
Molecule: antisense RNA, 75 nt
Filed under: Micromonospora sagamiensis
Lineage: Bacteria; Bacillati; Actinomycetota; Actinomycetes; Micromonosporales; Micromonosporaceae
Description: ASpks TB sRNA
Rfam family: ASpks TB sRNA
Source: RNAcentral